GGGAAAAACUUUUGAAAAGAACAUUAUACACUACUACACUGUAGGAGUUUGCUGGAUGAUUUUGGCUUAGCUCUUUAUGUGAGCAGCUAGUUCUUCGUUCUCUUUUUGGCCGGUUUGUUGGCUUGAAACCAGUAUUUCAGUUAGUGAUUUACAUCCUCUUUUUAUUGGCUGUUCUGUCAAAACUCCAUGAUAACCAUUGAAAUACUACCUUAGCACAUCACCGAGAACACGGAAACCCAAGGAAGGUAGGCAGCAGAGCUGACAACAGGGCCAGCCAGCUCCUUAAUACACUCAGUCAUUUGCAUUAUGGCUGUGACUAGUCACAAUAAAAAUAAUUAUAUUCUCAUUAAAUAAGACUAUUUCUCAUAAUAGCAUAAUUUGAUUCAAAUAAGGAACUGAUCCAACAGGACCUUGGAAGGCCUGGUGCUGUUUCUCUCAAUGGCAGCUGACUUGGCAGAAGGUACACGGGAAUUUACUUCUCUGUUCCAAGCGUCGACACCACCUGUGACAUUCCUAAGAUUUCUUUUUGUAAAAAUUAAAUCUCCUGCUCUGGCUUGGAACAUUUCUACUCGUAAUGGCUACAUAUGGACACUGAGGUGGGUUUAAUAAUCUCCGAUUUUCCCCUAGUUAGCUUUUCUGUCGUUCUUUAGACAUAUUUUGUAUGAAACAAACACCAUGGGUUUUUUUUUUUCAUUUAAUUAACAUUAAAGUCAUGAGAGUAUGGCUCUCAAGAUCUUUCUAAGCUUUUUUGCCAUUAUGAAUUUUUAGAAACCUGAGUG
RNAcentral lists this long non-coding RNA (779 nucleotides) under Mus musculus (house mouse). RNAcentral describes it as "long non-coding RNA chr10:114948939-114949718". Lineage: Eukaryota; Metazoa; Chordata; Mammalia; Rodentia; Muridae. The record is from RNAcentral.